RNAcentral lists this ribosomal RNA (495 nucleotides) under uncultured bacterium. RNAcentral's name for it is "partial 16S ribosomal RNA". It matches the Rfam family "Bacterial small subunit ribosomal RNA", at positions 28 to 507 of the family's 1533-position model. The record is from RNAcentral.
GACGAACGCUGGCGGCGUGCCUAAUACAUGCAAGUAGAACGCUGAAGGAGGAGCUUGCUUCUCUGGAUGAGUUGCGAACGGGUGAGUAACGCGUAGGUAACCUGCCUGGUAGCGGGGGAUAACUAUUGGAAACGAUAGCUAAUACCGCAUAACAGUAGAUAUCGCAUGAUAUCUACUUGAAAGGUGCAAUUGCAUCACUACCAGAUGGACCUGCGUUGUAUUAGCUAGUUGGUGAGGUAACGGCUCACCAAGGCGACGAUACAUAGCCGACCUGAGAGGGUGAGCGGCCACACUGGGACUGAGACACGGCCCAGACUCCUACGGGAGGCAGCAGUAGGGAAUCUUCGGCAAUGGACGGAAGUCUGACCGAGCAACGCCGCGUGAGUGAAGAAGGUUUUCGGAUCGUAAAGCUCGGUUGUAAGAGAAGAACGAGUGUGAGAGUGGAAAGUUCACACUGUGACGGUAUCUGACCAGAAAGGGACGGCUAACUACGUG